Molecule: ribosomal RNA, 424 nt
Filed under: uncultured bacterium
Lineage: Bacteria
Description: bacterial SSU rRNA
Rfam family: Archaeal small subunit ribosomal RNA
Source: RNAcentral
GACCUACGGGGGGCUGCAGUCGCGAAAACUUUGCAAUAAGCGCAAGCUUGACAGGGCUAUCCCGAGUGCCAUCCGCUGAGGAAGGCUUUUACCCAGUCUAGAACGCUGGGGGAAUAAGGAGAGGGCAAGUCUGGUGUCAGCCGCCGCGGUAAUACCAGCUCUCCGAGUGGUGUGGAUGUUUAUUGGGCCUAAAGCAUCCGUAGCUGGCUAAGUUAGUCCCCUGUUAAAUCCACCGAAUUAAUCGUUGGAUUGCGGGGGAUACUGCUUGGCUAGGGGACGAGGGAGGCAGACGGUAUUUUCGGGGUAGGGGUGAAAUCCUAUAAUCCCGGGAAGACCACCAGUGGCGAAGGCUGUCUGCUAGAACGCGCCCGACGGUGAGGGAUGAAAGCUGGGGGAGCGAACCGGAUUAGAUACCCGGGUAGUC